RNAcentral lists this small RNA (443 nucleotides) under Histoplasma capsulatum var. duboisii H88. RNAcentral describes it as "Histoplasma capsulatum H88 hypothetical RNA". Lineage: Eukaryota; Fungi; Ascomycota; Eurotiomycetes; Onygenales; Ajellomycetaceae. The record is from RNAcentral.
CUAGCGAUUAGCUACUACAACUAUCAUACUAUUACGCGAUAUACUACUAUCUGAUAAUAUUACUACUUCUUCCACUAUCUUCUACUAUUCACUCUUCACACUGUUAUCACCCCUCACAUAUAUCUUCAAUUAAAAUAGAAGACGUGUUUUGAUCUUGUUAUCUGCAAUUGAUGGAGGCAAUGAGGUAAUGAGAGUGGUGCAAUAUGAGAGACAGUAAAUUUCAUACAUCAUGAUUGCAAAAUAACUUGCUAAGGAAACAGUUGAGAGCCGGCAUUUAAGGCACAAUUCUGUUUCAAAAUCAUUUAUCACCACUAUUGUAGGGAUCACAGAAUCAACUACUAGAUUUAAACUUCAAGCAUUUGAUGAUACUGAAGCACCAAAGGGCCCAUAACCUGAUGAAUGUGGAAGGUUGAUUAAUUGUAACUAUCCAGCAAACGCAGCAC